CAGGAUGAACGCUAGCUGCAGGCUUAACACAUGCAAGUCGAGGGGCAGCAUGAUCUUAGCUUGCUAAGAUGAUGGCGACCGGCGCACGGGUGAGUAACGCGUAUCCAACCUUCCCUAUAGUAGGGGAUAGCCCGUAGAAAUGCGGAUUAAUACCCUAUGUUGUAUUUUGAGGACAUCUGACGAAUACCAAAGGUUUACCGCUAUAGGAUGGGGAUGCGUCUGAUUAGGUAGUCGGCGGGGUAACGGCCCACCGAGCCAACGAUCAGUAGGGGUUCUGAGAGGAAGGUCCCCCACAUUGGAACUGAGACACGGUCCAAACUCCUACGGGAGGCAGCAGUGAGGAAUAUUGGUCAAUGGGCGAGAGCCUGAACCAGCCAAGUAGCGUGCAGGAUGACGGCCCUAUGGGUUGUAAACUGCUUUUAUGCGGGGAUAAAGUGGGGGACGUGUCCCCCUUUGUAGGUACCGCAUGAAUAAGGACCGGCUAAUUCCGUGCCAGCAGCUGC
RNAcentral lists this ribosomal RNA (503 nucleotides) under uncultured bacterium. RNAcentral's name for it is "bacterial SSU rRNA". It matches the Rfam family "Bacterial small subunit ribosomal RNA", at positions 25 to 518 of the family's 1533-position model. The record is from RNAcentral.